RNAcentral lists this ribosomal RNA (406 nucleotides) under uncultured bacterium. RNAcentral's name for it is "bacterial SSU rRNA". It matches the Rfam family "Bacterial small subunit ribosomal RNA", at positions 44 to 495 of the family's 1533-position model. The record is from RNAcentral.
ACGCCUAACACAUGCAAGUCGAACGAAGUAGCAAUACUUAGUGGCAGACGGGUGAGUAACAUGUAGGUAUCUGCCCUUUGGCCUGGAAUAACACGAGGAAACUUGUGCUAAUACCGGAUAAGUCUUUACGGAGAAAGCUUUAUGCACCAUUGGAUGAGCCUGCACUUGAUUAGUUUGUUGGUGGGGUAAUGGCCUACCAAGACUGUGAUCAAUAGCUGAUUUGAGAGGAUGAUCAGCCACAUUGGGACUGAGACACGGCCCAAACUCCUACGGGAGGCAGCAGUGGGGAAUCUUGCACAAUGGAGGAAACUCUGAUGCAGCGAUGCCGCGUGAGUGAAGAAGGCCCUUGGGUUGUAAAGCUCUUUCGUCGGGGAAGAAAAUGACUGUACCCGAAUAAGAAGGUCCG